GGUCAGGACGAACGCUGGCGGCGUGCCUAAUACAUGCAAGUCGAACGGUCUUUCUAUGGAAGCUUGCUUCCACUGAGAAGAUAGUGGCGAACGGGUGAGUAACACGUGGGUAACCUGCCCAUAAGAGGGGGGAUAACAUCCGGAAACGGGUGCUAAUACCGCAUAGUUUUCUUGAUCGCAUGAUCGGGAAAGGAAAGACGGCCUUUGUGCUGUCGCUUAUGGAUGGACCCGCGGCGUAUUAGUUAGUUGGUGAGGUAACGGCUCACCAAGACGAUGAUACGUAGCCGGCCUGAGAGGGUGGACGGCCACAUUGGAACUGAGACACGGUCCAGACUCCUACGGGAGGCAGCAGCUAAGAAUCUUCCGCAAUGGGCGAAAGCCUGACGGAGCGAACCGCCGCGUGAACGAAGAAGGCCGUGAGGUUGUAAAGUUCUUUUCGGGAGGGGGAACAACCGUGGCAGGGAAUGGCCGCGGGAUGACGUGAAUCCCGGAAUAAGCCCCGGCUAACUACGUGCCAGCCGCCGC
This 525-nucleotide ribosomal RNA is filed under the name uncultured bacterium. Its description in RNAcentral is "bacterial SSU rRNA". It matches the Rfam family "Bacterial small subunit ribosomal RNA", at positions 22 to 518 of the family's 1533-position model. The record is from RNAcentral.